RNAcentral lists this ribosomal RNA (199 nucleotides) under uncultured bacterium. RNAcentral's name for it is "partial 16S ribosomal RNA". It matches the Rfam family "Bacterial small subunit ribosomal RNA", at positions 328 to 539 of the family's 1533-position model. The record is from RNAcentral.
ACGCUCGACACCUACAGGAGGCAGCAGUGGGGAAUAUUGCACAAUGGGGGAAACCCUGAUGCAGCGACGCCGCGUGACUGAAGAAGUAUUUCGGUAUGUAAAGGUCUAUCAGCAGGGAAGAAAGAAGACGGUACCUGACUAAGAAGCCCCGGCUAACUACGUGCCAGCAGCCGCGGUAAUCUGAGCGGGCUGGCAAGGC